AGUGAACGCUGGCGGUAGGCCUAACACAUGCAAGUCGAACGGCAGCACAGUAAGAGCUUGCUCUUACGGGUGGCGAGUGGCGGACGGGUAAGGAAUACAUCGGAAUCUACUUUUUCGUGGGGGAUAACGUAGGGAAACUUACGCUAAUACCGCAUACGACCUACGGGUGAAAGUAGGGGAUCUUCGGACCUUGCGCGAUUGAAUGAGCCGAUGUCGGAUUAGCUAGUUGGCGGGGUAAAGGCCCACCAAGGCGACGAUCCGUAGCUGGUCUGAGAGGAUGAUCAGCCACACUGGAACUGAGACACGGUCCAGACUCCUACGGGAGGCAGCAGUGGGGAAUAUUGGACAAUGGGCGCAAGCCUGAUCCAGCCAUACCGCGUGGGUGAAGAAGGCCUUCGGGUUGUAAAGCCCUUUUGUUGGGAAAGAAAAGCAGCAGGUUAAUACCCCGCUGUUCUGACGGUACCCAAAGAAUAAGCACCGGCUAACUUCGUG
RNAcentral lists this ribosomal RNA (492 nucleotides) under uncultured bacterium. RNAcentral's name for it is "partial 16S ribosomal RNA". It matches the Rfam family "Bacterial small subunit ribosomal RNA", at positions 29 to 507 of the family's 1533-position model. The record is from RNAcentral.